Molecule: ribosomal RNA, 395 nt
Filed under: uncultured bacterium
Lineage: Bacteria
Description: partial 16S ribosomal RNA
Rfam family: Bacterial small subunit ribosomal RNA
Source: RNAcentral
AUACGUAGGGUGCAAGCGUUAAUCGGAAUUACUGGGCGUAAAGCGUGCGCAGACGGUUUUGUAAGACAGUGGUGAAAUCCCCGGGCUCAACCUGGGAACUGCCAUUGUGACUGCAAGGCUGGAGUGCGGCAGAGGGGGAUGGAAUUCCGCGUGUAGCAGUGAAAUGCGUAGAUAUGCGGAGGAACACCGAUGGCGAAGGCAAUCCCCUGGGCCUGCACUGACGCUCAUGCACGAAAGCGUGGGGAGCAAACAGGAUUAGAUACCCUGGUAGUCCACGCCCUAAACGAUGUCAACUGGUUGUUGGGGAUUUAUUUUCUCAGUAACGAAGCUAACGCGUGAAGUUGACCGCCUGGGGAGUACGGCCGCAAGGUUAAAACUCAAAGGAAUUGACGGGG